This 403-nucleotide ribosomal RNA is filed under the name Amphifilaceae sp. RNAcentral describes it as "partial small subunit ribosomal RNA". It matches the Rfam family "Eukaryotic small subunit ribosomal RNA", at positions 587 to 975 of the family's 1831-position model. Lineage: Eukaryota; Bigyra; Amphifilida; Amphifilaceae. The record is from RNAcentral.
AGCUCCAAUAGGAUAUAUCAACGUUGUUGCAGUUGAAAAGCUCGUAGUUGAAUUUCUUUCCUGGUAAUCAAUGUAGAAUUUAGAUGUUCACCGAAUGUCAUUCUUGUUGGACAGGAAAUCAUGUGGAUUUUUACUGCUUUUAAUGCUUCAUUGUGUUAAAAGUAGCCACUCCGUUACUGAGAGCAAAACGAAUCGCUCAAAGAAAGCCUUUGGCUAUGAACGAUUAAGCUUGGAAUAACAACGAAUGACUCAUGAUAGUUGUUGGUUUCUAUUUUUUUUAAUGAGUAAUGAUUAAAAGGAACAGUAUACGCGGGGGUAUUUGUAUUGGGAAGUCAGAGGUGAAAUUCUUGGAUUUUCUCAAGACAAACGACUGCGAAAGCAUUUACCAAGGAUGUUUUCAUUA